RNAcentral lists this ribosomal RNA (420 nucleotides) under uncultured eukaryote. RNAcentral describes it as "bacterial SSU rRNA". It matches the Rfam family "Eukaryotic small subunit ribosomal RNA", at positions 592 to 1018 of the family's 1831-position model. The record is from RNAcentral.
CAAUAGCGUAUAUUAAAGUUGUUGCAGUUAAAAAGCUCGUAGUUGGAUCUCGGGUCCAGGCUUGUGGUGCAGCUUAGGCUGCUUACUGCUCGUCCUGACCUACCUACCGGUUUUCCCUUGGUGCUCUUAAGUGAGUGUCUUGGGUGGCCGGAACGUUUACUUUGAGAAAAUUAGAGUGUUCAAAGCAGGCCUAUGCUCUGAAUAGGUUAGCAUGGAAUAAUAGAAUAGGACUUUGGUUCUAUUUUGUUGGUUUCUAGGACCGAAGUAAUGAUUAAUAGGGACAGUUGGGGGCAUUCAUAUUCCAUUGUCAGAGGUGAAAUUCUUGGAUUAACGGAAGAUGAACUUCUGCGAAAGCAUCUGCCAAGGAUGUUUUCAUUGAUCAAGAACGAAAGUUAGGGAUCGAAGAUGAUUAGAUACCAU